UUUAAGUGCAAUCAAGAGUUUCCACACCCAACUUUAGUCGACCGGUCUUAUUUGAAAUUUUUUUUGUAAUUAGUAUUUUUUUUGUCGUUAUGAGAUGAUAAAAUAUGAAUAGUACUUUAUACCUAACUUAUGCUUUUAUUUUUUUUCAAAAAAAAUUCAAAUAAAAGGGACUAUCAAAGUUAGACACGAAAACUUAUGGCUACACUUACA
This is a microRNA precursor of Oryza rufipogon (brownbeard rice), 210 nucleotides long. It matches the Rfam family "MIR812 microRNA precursor family". The record is from Rfam. Lineage: Eukaryota; Viridiplantae; Streptophyta; Magnoliopsida; Poales; Poaceae.